Molecule: long non-coding RNA, 862 nt
Filed under: Phoenix dactylifera (date palm)
Lineage: Eukaryota; Viridiplantae; Streptophyta; Magnoliopsida; Arecales; Arecaceae
Description: long non-coding RNA (PDAC_LNC017377)
Source: RNAcentral
CAUCCAACUCCAUGCAUGUUGUCCUUCAACACUAUGAUGGUUUAUCAAAACUAACCUAAUCUAUCAGAAACAGUGACAACUACUUCUGCUAAUAGAUUUCUUCUGACAAUAUUUAUAACUAAUAUGCAACAUGGCUGCAUUUUCAAAAAUGCGUGACAAGUUAUAUUCUCAAAAUAUGUGUGACAUGUUUCUAAUUCCUAACCUACAUGACAGCCUUCCCAAGUCCUUUGAUAAACCAUCUUUCUUUGCAGCACCUGAAUCUUCUCACGAUUAAAAAAGCUACAAACACUAGUAAACAUACUGGUCCCCAAGCAUCUUAGUUUUUGAGGCAUGCCAAUGUAAGGCACAAAUGGGUUUAUGUAACUUAACAUAGAGUUGAUGUAAAUCUGAUGAACACAAACUCAUCGUACUACUAGAAUCCAUGCAUGUAUUAACCUCAUAAAAAAUCAAUGAAUCUAAACCAUAAAAUAAAACCAAAAUAAGCAAGGAAAAGCAAAGCAAUGAAUACUAGGAUGCCACAACGUAUCUGUUCAUUCAAAUUAGCAAUAUGUCGUAUCAUGAAUAUAACAUAGGUUAGAACAACAUGUGGAAACUCAUAACUAUCAUGCGCUUUCGUUUCAAAUCAGAGACUAUACAGUCAACUCCAAGAGCAAAGAUUGGUUGUUGUAUUUGGUUAGUUGGAGAUAUUCUCAAGCUGCUUGAAGAAAAGGCAACUCCUCUUGUGCAGCAGAGUCUUCACCUUCCACCACCAUCCAGUCUAGCCUUGGUCCCUGAACAGUAAAUUCAAAUUCAAAAAAUCUGCACUUGCAGGAGGACAUGAGGUAUAACUUCCACCGGACCAGUUGUGGCAUUCGAAACAUGG